UCCUCUGUAGCUCAGUCGGUAGAGCAGCUGGCUGUUAACCAGCGGGGGUUCGAGUCCCUCCGGAGGAGCCA
This 71-nucleotide transfer RNA is filed under the name Desulfurella sp. RNAcentral's name for it is "tRNA-Asn". It matches the Rfam family "tRNA". From Rfam's summary of the family: Transfer RNA (tRNA) molecules are approximately 80 nucleotides in length. Their secondary structure includes four short double-helical elements and three loops (D, anti-codon, and T loops). Further hydrogen bonds mediate the characteristic L-shaped molecular structure. tRNAs have two regions of fundamental functional importance: the anti-codon, which is responsible for specific mRNA codon recognition, and the 3' end, to which the tRNAs corresponding amino acid is attached (by aminoacyl-tRNA synthetases). tRNAs cope with the degeneracy of the genetic code in two manners: having more than one tRNA (with a specific anti-codon) for a particular amino acid; and 'wobble' base-pairing, i.e. permitting non-standard base-pairing at the 3rd anti-codon position. Lineage: Bacteria; Pseudomonadati; Campylobacterota; Desulfurellia; Desulfurellales; Desulfurellaceae. The record is from RNAcentral.